UGGAUCCAGACUUUGAUCAUGGCUCAGGAUGAACGCUAGCUACAGGCUUAACACAUGCAAGUCGAGGGGCAGCAUGGGAUUAGCUUGCUAAUCCUGAUGGCGACCGGCGCGCGGGUGCGUAACGCGUAUCCAACCUGCCCUCUACUCCGGAACAGCCCGUCGGAAGGCGGAUUAAUGCCGGAUGGUGUCACAUGCCCGCAUGAGUGUGUGACUAAAGGCAACGGUAGAGGAUGGGGAUGCGACUGAUUAGCUAGUUGGCGGGGUAACGGCCCACCAAGGCUACGAUCAGUAGGGGUUCUGAGAGGAAGGUCCCCCACAUUGGAACUGAGACACGGUCCAAACUCCUACGGGAGGCAGCAGUGAGGAAUAUUGGUCAAUGGGCGAGAGCCUGAACCAGCCAAGUAGCGUGCGGGAUGACGGCCCUAUGGGUUGUAAACCGCUUUUGAUUGGGAACAAAGAGCGCCACGUGUGGUGCGUUGCGUGUACCCUUCGAAUAAGCAUCGGCUAAUUCCGUGCCAGCAGCCGCGGUAAUACGGAAGAUGCGAGCGUUAUCCGGAUUUAUUGGGUUUAAAGGGAGCGUAGGCGGGCUGUUAAGUCAGCGGUCAAAUGUCAGGGCCCAACCUUGGCAUGCCGUUGAUACUGGCGGCCUUGAGUUCACACAAGGAAGGUGGAAUUCGUCGUGUAGCGGUGAAAUGCUUAGAUAUGACGAAGAACUCCGAUUGCGAAGGCAGCCUUCUGGGGUGUUACUGACGCUGAGGCUCGAAAGUGCGGGAAUCAAACAGGAUUAGAUACCCUGGUAGUCCGCACCGUAAACGAUGAGCGCCCGUCAUUGGCGACACACAGUCAGUGACCAAGGGAAACCGUUAAGCGCUCCACCUGGGGAGUACGCCGGCAACGGUGCAACUCAAAUGAAUUGACGGA
Molecule: ribosomal RNA, 921 nt
Filed under: uncultured bacterium
Lineage: Bacteria
Also listed under: 1 other name
Description: bacterial SSU rRNA
Rfam family: Bacterial small subunit ribosomal RNA
Source: RNAcentral